UUCUUCCAGAAGUCGACGAACACCAGCAAGAGUUAUUGACCUGGGAUAGAACAUUCACUUGAAACUUUUAAAGCACAUAGAAAAGAACAAGAGGAAAAUGAAGGGGCAGGAUAGAACAUUCACUUGAAACUGUUAAAGCACAUAGAAAAGAACAAGAGGAAAAUGAAGGGCCAAUUUUACAUACAUAAAUAAAUAAAACCUUUGAUGUGAAAGAUAAAUACAUAAAUAAAACCUUUGAGAGAAGAGGUAAUGUUGAAAUUGAUCAAACUAUUAAACAAGUGUCCAGGUGUAUAACUAGUGAAUACACUUAAUGUCCUAAAACUAUUAUCACCCAUGUACUGCCAUCCCAUUUAUAACCCAUUAGGUUGAAUGCACAAAUUUUACCAGUGAUUAACUCAUUUUGCCACAUUGUCAAGUAUAUAACACCACAAUUACUCAUGAAGACUUCUUUUUGGGUUUUCUUAAUCACGGCUUGUGUAGGUGCGCGCCUCGACAAAUAUACCGGGUAACUUGCUACAGUUCACAAGCAGAGGUGUCAGGUAAAUAUGCUCACAAAGGUUAGAUUAGAUGGCCCACACUGAGUCUUGCAGGUGGAAUUCGAACUUGGAAUCUUUAUAUUGUUGCUCCUAAGCAUCAACCUCUCAGCGAUCCCUUGGGUACUACUUGUGAAGAGAUUCUUAUGGAUCUCAACAACACUAGGUUACCCAAAGAAAGAAAAGAAAAGCGUAAGAAAGAGAGGGAACAAGAAAUUUU
This 753-nucleotide long non-coding RNA is filed under the name Nicotiana benthamiana. RNAcentral's name for it is "long non-coding RNA (NBEN_LNC004623)". The record is from RNAcentral. Lineage: Eukaryota; Viridiplantae; Streptophyta; Magnoliopsida; Solanales; Solanaceae.